AGAAUCAACGCUGGCGGCGUGCCUAACACACGCAAGUCGAACGAGAAAGGGACUUCGGUCCUGAGUACAGUGGCGCACGGGUGAGUAACACGUGACUAACCUACCCUGGAGUGGGGAAUAACUGAGGGAAACCUUAGCUAAUACCGCAUAAUACCUACGGGUCAAAGGAGCAAUUCGCUUCAGGAGGGGGUCGCGGCCGAUUAGCUAGUUGGCGGGGUAAUGGCCCACCAAGGCAAUGAUCGGUAU
RNAcentral lists this ribosomal RNA (246 nucleotides) under uncultured bacterium. RNAcentral's name for it is "partial small subunit ribosomal RNA". It matches the Rfam family "Bacterial small subunit ribosomal RNA", at positions 26 to 286 of the family's 1533-position model. The record is from RNAcentral.